This is a long non-coding RNA of Mirounga angustirostris (Northern elephant seal), 6338 nucleotides long. RefSeq lists it as uncharacterized. The record is from RefSeq and is a predicted model, not a curated record. Lineage: Eukaryota; Metazoa; Chordata; Mammalia; Carnivora; Phocidae. The transcript has 6 exons.
GGGGCGGGAGAGGGUGGGCUGGCCCACACACUGCUCCACCAUUUGCCUGAGGGUGCUGAGAAAGCUGGCAGUCUAUGAUGGGAAGUCAUUCUCAAGGAACAUUACCUACAGCUUGAUGUCAGAGAUCGUUCCUGCUUGGCAUGCUGCAUAAACCUGAGGUCAGGAGGCUUGGAAGCUGAAAUACAAGCCAGGAAGUAUGAAUCGGUGCCACUCAGACUUCCCAGCUUACGACUUCAUGAGGUGUGUGUGCAUACCUGUCUCACACGGACAGACCUCAAUCCCAAGUCUGAGCUACACAGAACCAACAAAGCAGAGGUUCCCCAGUUCACCUUUAACUGCCAAGCUCUUUUUCAUAUUGCUGAGGAUCAAAUAUGAGACUGGGGUGAAUAGCCAAUCGAUCUCUUUGAAAGCAUAUAAAUAGUCCUCUUCUAGCUUUAAAGAGGAAAGAGCCAUAGGUGGUGGCAAUUGAAUCUAAGACCAUCCAACAUAUCUAAAGCAUCAGAUAUAACCAGUGGUGUGCUGGUAAAUGUUUAACAACCAACUCCCUGAAAAGAAAAGAAAAUAACUGUGAUUUAUAGUGUUUGUUGAUUUCAUGGUACAAAUACUCCCACCGUGGCCAUUUUCAAGCUGACAAUGUAAAGUCUCUGAACUCACUCUUGGGAAGAGAUGCCACAGUAGGCUCUCGCGACUCGGUAGGAGCAGGCUCCAUCACACUACUCAGUAAAAAAAGCACAAAAUGGAUCGUCUUUUCACAAAACCGCUAAAAAAGUUUUCCAAGGUCUGAUCUAAUGAUUGACAUUCAGAAGAAAGACAUUCCAAGACGUGUCUCAAUAUAUAAAGCCCUUACGGAAUAAUAGGGAUGUCAUUUCACCAACUCAGAAGUCUGCAAAGAGAGAAAGUUCAAGACCUCAGCUUUGGUAGCAGAGGAUCAUGCAGUUGGCUUCCUUGUGUUCAGACACUUAACACCGAUUGCAGAGAAGGCUCUGGCUGUGUCUCUGCAGGCGCUCAAAGCUCAGGUUUUUCACUUUUUUUUUCUUUUUUGACUCUUCACCAACCUCUCUUCCAUAACUCUAGGUAACUUCACAUUAAUCUUACAGAGCAAAAGGUGUUCCCUGUGCCUCCUGCAUAUUCCACCCAAUUCCUGGGACCAGUUGUGGUUUUGGUCCCCAGAACAGCAGCUGCGUUCUUGAGCUCUUCUCUACGCUUUUGCUCAUGGUCUUUAAACGACGGCAGCUAGAGGGUUACGUACCUCACUUUGGCCAUUGAUCGAAGACAGUUUCUAGAUAUUCGAGAUUGAACAGGUUUGAGAGUUCUUGGACAUUGAUAUUCCGAGUGUUAACUUUUAACACCCCUUUGAUUCCAGUGGCUUUGCCCCUCAUUGUGUUCCAGUUAAUUCCCUGAGGACACAGCCUCCGUGACUAGUAGGAUUUGCUUAAAAUAAGAUAAAUAUUUAAUUAAAAAUAUAUUCCCAUCUUUUAAGAAUUGGGGUUCCCAUGAUGCCAAAUAAUCAGGUGAACUAAAAUUUUCACUUUUUAACGGUUGUUUCAGCUUCUUACCAACACAGCCCUUGUUGAGAUGCUUACUACUUUAAUUUAUGCAACUGUUAGUAAUUCUCACUCCACAACUGGUUUACUCUAAAAAUAUGAACAUUUAAUUAUACCAAAGUCAGUAAAUACGACCAUUUUUUUGCAUGAGAAUUCUUGGGAAAACAUUUUAUCCAUCUAAAAUAUCAUUAAUUUAAAAACUAAUUAGACUAAAUAAGAUUUGGCAAGUUCCACCCUAAAGACAAAUCGCUCAUAUUUUUCAAUUUGUUCGUGCACAUUACCAUGGAGACAGCGAAGUCAAAACACACAAGCUAGUGCAUUGUUCAGCUCUGCACUUCCUACUAUAGAUUUGAUUAAGUAAUUCUGGCCUACUCAUUUUGAGAAUUUGAGAACAUAGCAUUGUUUCUUUUGUAAAAACAUGGUCAGCAUUCAGACGUGAUCAAUAAGGCAAGAAUUCGAUCUUACUUGGAAUCUUUGCUCCUUCUAAUGUGAUAAAAUAAGUAAGAGGUAAAUCACUUCCUUCAAUUAGUUAUUUUUGUGGUAAAUGUAAUGCCUCUGAUUCAUUCCUAAGAGCAGCGGGGCUUGAUCUUGUAAAAAAAGAGGCUGAAAAAACUGCUUAUUUGAUGAGUGAGGCAGGUGUCCUUUCAGACUAACGCACCAAAAAAGGUGAUUUGGAGGCUCAUUUCCUUUGCAGAUGCCUUGAAUAUUAUUCUCCACCUUCCUCCCCUACAUUAUACUUGGAACAAUAGGAAAAUGCACCUCCUUUUCUUUUCUUUUUUUUUUUUAAAGAUUUUUUAUUUAUUUAUUUGACAGAGAGAGACACAGCGAGAGAGGGAACACAAGCAGGGGGAGUGGGAGAGGGAGAAGCAGGCUUCCCGCAGAGCAGGGAGCCUGAUGUGGGACUCGAUCCCAGGACCCUGGGAUCAUGACCUGAGCUGAAGGCAGUCGCUUAACCGACUGAGCCACCCAGGCGCCCUGCACCUCCUUUUCAAUGAGGUGUGUUUGUGGUCUUGUAAUUUUGCCUUUAUGGGACCCAUUUGUGAUGGGCUUCUGCUCUCUCAUGGUAACGUUGCUUCUGUCUCCCCUGGAGCUCACCUAGAAAAUCAAGAUGUUAUUAUCUCUAUAUUCUGUUUCUUUUGUCCUUAAGACUGUCAGAAGAGCCAUUCCUAAUGCUUGCCUGUAAUCCAUUUCAUGAAGGAUGUUCCCAGUGGCUUAGCAAAGACAGAGCAAGAGAGAAAGGCAGAGGGAGAAACAGGCUCCCAAGGAGCAGGGAGCCCGAUGCGGGACUCGAUCCCAGGACCCUGAGAUCAUGACCUGAGCCGAAGGCAGACGCUUAACCAUCUGAGCCACCCAGGCGCCCCAAUGAAAUGAUUUCAUUGCGAGUACAGAGAAGCUUCACUCUUUAGGUUUUCCUAUUUCACUCUAUAUGGAAAAUAUCUCAAUAAUCGUUCACUAAUGAAUGUCUUUCCAAUAAUUAAAACGUGAAUAUUUAAUCCUAUAAUUACAUUUCGUCCCAGUAGACAAAUUAUGGGUAUAAUUUCUCGACCAAUUCAUGGAGUACGAAAGAGCCUUCGCGAUCUCAAUCACGGAAACGACCUCUCUUUCCAGCACUGAACUCGGAGCAUAUGCCAGAUGUCCGCGGCACGCAUCUCAGCCAUAGUUACUCUGUAAAUGCCAGCGUCGAGAGUGAGCUCAUGGGAAAGGAACUAUCAGUUCGAAUCGGCCCAGGAAAUGGUCUGUUGGAGAGCUCGGAGCUGAAGCCGGCCUCCUUCCCCCAUCCCCGCCCCAAUCUUGCUGGUUUGGCGGUGGAGGUCGGGGGACUGACUGUUCCUCUGCCUCGGGAAGCCUCGGCCCUCCCCUCCAAGGAGAGCUGGGACAGAUGGGCAGUGUAUUUGACAAGGAACCCCUGCGCCCUUGCUUCAAUGCCCUUCUCCUCUACUUUAAAAGCAGUACUGUAUUUUUUAAGUGUUGGGACUGGCAGCUCUGCCGGUCGCUGGCUCCAGUGAACAAUCCUCCAUUCAAGCCAAGCAGCCCCAGCCCCGAUCCAGGGGAAAGCUGUGAUGAGGGACACAGAGGGAGGCCUCUCUGGCCUCCACCGUGCGGAGGGCGAGGGUUAGGUCAGGCGCCCCGAAGAUUCCAGAGGGGGGAUUUCAGUGGAGUUCUUAUACAGCAGCUAUUAUGCCAUUUCACAAGGAGGAUUUACGAACUGGGGGAAAAAAAAAAAAGAAGAAGAAGAAGUUUACCUUAGUUGGCUUCCUUUUACUGGUGCCACCAGGAUCUGAGCCUCCCCAAAUCUCCUCCAAGCAGGAGGCCUGUCUCCCUCCCUCACUGGAGGCCUCUUCAACCAGGCCAGAUUUUGUAGUACUAACAUUUCUAAGUAAACAGCAGAAUAAAAUGUCCCUUUUAAAAGAGCCAAUGCAGAGAGGAGGUGAGGGAGGGUUUGUGAGUUGCAGUAAGGCAAAGAAAGACAGAAGAGCAAAGAGAGGAGGAAGAAAGGUGAAGUAUCUGCUAAUGGGUUUAAGUCAUUUUAGAUGAAUGGGGUCGGCUGAGUCUCCUAGGGGCCCAUCCACUACCUGCCCAUGAUGGAAGUACCUUCCAGCAGCAGCAGCAACUUCCCAGCACACACAACUACACACACACACACACACACACAUGCCCCCUUGUGCAGCCCCCAUCGCUCAGCCUGAAUCCUCAAUGCGUUUCCCAGAGGUGCUAUAGUAAAGUGCCAGAAAUUGGGUGACUUAGAACAACGGAAAUGUGUCGGCUCACAAUUCUGGAGAAUAGGAGUCCAAAAUCAAGGCCUUUGGCAAGGCCAGGCUCUCUCUGACAGUUCCAGGGGAGAACCUUCCCUUGCUUCUAGCUUCUGGUGUUUGCCAAAUAUCAACCCCGCCACAUAACCAUCUUCCUCCCGUGAGUCCUCACCUCAUCUUCCUUCUGUGUGUCUGUCUCUUCAUCCGAAUUUCUCCUUUUGAUGAAGACACCAGUCAUAUUGGAUUAGGGCCCACCCCUAAUGGCUUCAUUUUAAUUUGAUUAGCUCUGUAAUAGCCCUGUUUUCAAAUAAGGUCCCAUUCUGGGGUACUAGGGAUUAGGACUUCAACAUAUCUUUUUUAGGUGACACAAUUCAACCCAUAACAGGCCCACAUUUGUGAAGCACCUCCCACUACUUUGUGCUUACCUCCUCAAAGGUUGCCCACAGUAGCAGGGUAGGGAAGAAGAACUUCCCAUGCUGGGAUGUAGAAAUAAAGGCAUCAGGGAGGAAUAAACCUCUCAUCUCUUGGGGACUCUUUGCACCAGGCCUGUAUUGGGCACUUUCAUAAUCGCCUUGUGUCUGAACAACUGGAUCACCCACUUCAUUUUCACUUUGCCUUUUCUUCAACCCCUCCUUGAAGACUUUUGCCCCAUAGGCGACUAUGGAUAUGCCUUAGAAAAUAACAUCACCCCAUGGGACACCUGGGUGGCUCAGUUGGUUAAGCGUCUGCCUUUGGCUCAGGUCAUGAUCUCAGAGCCACAUCAGGCUCCUUACUCAGCAGGGAGUCUGCUUCUCCCUCUCCCUCUGCUGCUCCCCCUGCUUGUGCGCUCUCUGUCAAAUAAAUGAAUAAAAUCUUUAAAAAAGAAUAAAAAAAAUAAAAUAAUAUUACCCUGGACAAAUUCUUAAUUUUGUAGAUGAAGAAACUGAGGGUCAGAGAGGCCAAGUGAUCUCUCCCAAGUUGCACAACUAGGUAGUGUCAGAGUAGGGCAAGAAUCCAAUUUGACUGACUCCCACUCCAGCAGUCGUGUUUCAAUGUUUCAACGUCGCCUUCCUAUUUGACUUGACAUUAUUUGCAGGGAGGAAAUAAAUUCAACCUUAUUUUACUUCUACCCUUCUACAGAGAUGAAAUCCCAGGCAGAGUAGAUGGGAGGGCCAGCAGACCCUCCCUGGGGUCAUGCCACUUCUUAGUUGUGUGUCCCCAGGACAGGAGCAAAUUCUCUAUGACUAGAGUAUAAUAUGUAUGUCUUGCACCAAAAUAACUCUGCCCUUACCAGGGCCUGUGUGGAAGAUGGAAAUUCAGAGAGAAAUGGAUACAGACCCUGCCUUGAAGGCGUUCAUAGUCUUGUAGAAGAUUCAGAAAUGUAAGAAAUUAAUCAAGCUCUAAUGGAAUAAGUUGUCACAAUAAAGAUUUUACGUAAGUCUCGGGGGAGUUGGGCAAUGGCUAACAGUCGUGUGGGUUCCAUGGACAAGUUUGCCAGGCUCAGUCAGUAGAGCAGGUGGGUCCGGGAAGGUUUGUCCAGGUUUAUGAUGGCUGACUACAUAGGGUCCUUGGGGCAAACAAGUCAUGAGUGUCAAAAAAGGAGAAAGGAAACAUAGGUUGGAACCAGUUUCUUGAGAUUCUUCAUGCAAUACUAAAUCAUUUAGACUUUGUCUAUGGGUAAUCAAGGUCUGAAGUUGGUUUUAAAGCAGGGAAAUGACAGGAAUCAGAUUUCUCCCUUUGGAAACAGGUGAGGCUGGGACCCAGGAACUGUUGGAAGCACCAGACCUCACCUCCCUCGACACCCAGCACUAGUCCAGGGCCUUCAAGCUGAAGUAACCAACAUCGGGUGACACCCCCGAGCCCCACUUGGGCUCCAGAUCACACACUAGGGCUUCCAAGAAAAGCAGAGAUCGGUAGUAUGCACUGAAUACCCAGUUUACCUGUGGGAAAAUCCAGCUUCAGUGCCACAGAGAAAGCCCCUGACAAGUUGUUAGGAAAGUGCUCCCAGGAGGGAGUCCCUGACAUUUCAGAAAUCCCUGUCCCCCUCUGUGUCCUUCUCCGUCUG